AAUAAGUGCAGUUUUACACUGUUCAUGUCUAACGUUUCACCGUUCGUCUUAUUUUUUAAAAAAAUGAUUAGUACUUUUAUUGUUAUUAGAUGAUAAAAUAUGAAUAGUAUUUUAUGUGUGACUAAUUUUUUUAUUUUUUUAUAACUUUUUAAAUAAAACGGACGGUCAAAUGUUGGACACGGAUACCCAUGUCUACACUUAUU
This is a non-coding RNA of Oryza glumipatula, 203 nucleotides long. The record is from Rfam. NCBI's taxonomy places the organism in Eukaryota, Viridiplantae, Streptophyta, Magnoliopsida, Poales, Poaceae.